UCAACGGAGAGUUUGAUCCUGGCUCAGGACGAACGCUGGCGGCGUGCUUAACACAUGCAAGUCGAGCGGAAAGGCCCUUCGGGGUACUCGAG
Molecule: non-coding RNA, 92 nt
Filed under: Nocardioides sp. Root1257
Lineage: Bacteria; Bacillati; Actinomycetota; Actinomycetes; Propionibacteriales; Nocardioidaceae
Description: Bacterial small subunit ribosomal RNA
Rfam family: Bacterial small subunit ribosomal RNA
Source: Rfam by way of RNAcentral